RNAcentral lists this ribosomal RNA (245 nucleotides) under uncultured bacterium. RNAcentral describes it as "partial 16S ribosomal RNA". It matches the Rfam family "Bacterial small subunit ribosomal RNA", at positions 15 to 252 of the family's 1533-position model. The record is from RNAcentral.
GUUCCUGGCUCAGGAUGAACGCUAGCUACAGGCUUAACACAUGCAAGUCGAGGGGCAGCAUGAUUGAAGCUUGCUUCAAUUGAUGGCGACCGGCGCACGGGUGAGUAACACGUAUCCAACCUGCCGAUAACUCGGGGAUAGCCUUUCGAAAGAAAGAUUAAUACCCGAUAGUAUAGUAUUUCCGCAUGGUUUCACUAUUAAAGAAUUUCGGUUAUCGAUGGGGAUGCGUUCCAUUAGAUAGUUGG